UACGGGGGGGGCAAGCGUUGUUCGGAAUUACUGGGCGUAAAGGGCUCGUAGGUGGCCAACUAAGUCAGACGUGAAAUCCCUCGGCUUAACCGGGGAACUGCGUCUGAUACUGGAUGGCUUGAGUUUGGGAGAGGGAUGCGGAAUUCCAGGUGUAGCGGUGAAAUGCGUAGAGAUGCGGAGGAACACCGAUGGCGAAGGCAGCCCCCUGGGCUAGCACUGACGCUCAGGCACGAAAGCGUGGGGAGCAAACAGG
This 253-nucleotide ribosomal RNA is filed under the name uncultured bacterium. RNAcentral describes it as "partial 16S ribosomal RNA". It matches the Rfam family "Bacterial small subunit ribosomal RNA", at positions 524 to 776 of the family's 1533-position model. The record is from RNAcentral.